This 81-nucleotide transfer RNA is filed under the name Actinomyces sp. RNAcentral describes it as "tRNA-Leu". It matches the Rfam family "tRNA". Rfam says of the family: Transfer RNA (tRNA) molecules are approximately 80 nucleotides in length. Their secondary structure includes four short double-helical elements and three loops (D, anti-codon, and T loops). RNAcentral also lists the same sequence under 3 other names. The record is from RNAcentral. Lineage: Bacteria; Bacillati; Actinomycetota; Actinomycetes; Actinomycetales; Actinomycetaceae.
GCCCCCGUGGUGGAAUUGGUAUACACAACGCACUUAAAAUGCGUCGCUUUAUGCUUGCGGGUUCGAGUCCCGCCAGGGGCA